ACCUCCACAUCCGCAGACUUCAACAGCAGGUCCCGCAGAGGGCUGUAAUAGUCAGAAGAAAACACGUGGUCUUCCGUGUAUACCACGUUCAGCCGCAGGGAGCCCAGGUCGUCUGGCUUUAGGCUCUUGCUACCAUUGUCCCGGGGCUGGAGGAAGUACCUGGGUCAUCUCCAAACUUCAGGUUACUGGCAUUCCAGAGGUCAACUCUGAAAAUCACCUGAUUUCGAGCUUGUCCACGUCUUCCUCCUCAAAGUCAAAGUGGGACUUCUUGCUGUAGCUACAGGGCCGGGUCACCUGGAGUCAGAC
Molecule: long non-coding RNA, 306 nt
Filed under: Homo sapiens (human)
Lineage: Eukaryota; Metazoa; Chordata; Mammalia; Primates; Hominidae
Description: long non-coding RNA NONHSAT166403
Source: RNAcentral